This 471-nucleotide long non-coding RNA is filed under the name Olea europaea (common olive). RNAcentral describes it as "long non-coding RNA (OEUR_LNC008859)". Lineage: Eukaryota; Viridiplantae; Streptophyta; Magnoliopsida; Lamiales; Oleaceae. The record is from RNAcentral.
UUGGAAGUUGUAAAAUCCAUUAAUUUGGUAAAAUCCUUGAAUAAAUAGUUUAAAAUUUACGAUCUCAUCUUCCCGAGUUGCCUAAGAAUUUGAAUUCAACCGUGAACAUUUGUGACUUUUGAUGCUUUUCAUUCUUCUGUGUUUUGUUGGGAUUGGAUUUGUCAAUGUUAAAGAAAGAAAAGAUUCUUUUAGGUUUCAGGAGCGAUAUUGAAGCUUAUUGGUUUGAAUUUAUGUUAUAGGUUUAUUGAUUAGUUAUAGUGCAUCUGGAGGUUAAUACUAUAUCGUUAAUGAAGUAAUAAAAUGACUAAAAUUACAACCCCAUUUGAAAACCAAAAUGAUAACAUUUUAAGAGUAUAUGAAUUAUGGAUAAAGUAAUAAUUUUUACGAUGCACAAAAUGGAAGAAAAAUUUUGGGUGGGUUUUGAAUAUGCAGAGUAUAUAGUGCUUUCCUUGAUUUUUAGAAUAUUUGACG